Molecule: long non-coding RNA, 2590 nt
Filed under: Homo sapiens (human)
Lineage: Eukaryota; Metazoa; Chordata; Mammalia; Primates; Hominidae
Description: HSALNT0332880
Source: RNAcentral
AGGAGGCUGAGGCUGCAGUGAGACUGAUCACACCACUGCACUUCAGCCUGAGCAACGGAGUGCAUUUGCCUCCACCAGGAAUAUCAGUACAGUUUGAUUACUGACUAUAAGUCACACAUUCAGAUAAUCCUAGUAUUUUGACUUUUUUCUUUAUUAAUAUCUCCUUUGUCUUCCAUGGGAUGUGCCUUUCCUUUUGACUCUGCUCUUUAUGAAUAAAGGAGUUGGAUUCCCAAUUCACUCAGAGGUUUCAGUUAGCUUUGCUUUGCCCCAUGGCUUCAGGUAUAUAACUUCGUAAUAGUUAUGGUGGUUUUAAAAUAUGUCUACAAAUCCUUUGACAGUCUUCUUCACAAAAUGAAGAGCCUAGUUCCCCUCCCUUUCAGUGGGGGCUGGACUUAGUACCUCACUGCUGAUGAACGGAUUAUGGUGGAAGUGAAGUGUGACUUGAGACCAGGUCAUAAAAGAGGCACUGUGGCUUCUGUUUGCUGUCUUGGACCACUUGCUCUGGGGAUGCCAACUGCCACAUUGUGGGGACAUUCAAGCACUAUGGAGGGGGUCUACAGAGCGAGGAAGUAGAUCCACUCUAAAAGUGGAUUCUCCCAGUCUCAGUUGAGCCUUCAGGAGGACACAAUGAGAAUGCUGCAGCUGGUCCCCAUGACUCCCACUCCUGUGCUAGCGGACGCAGUUCGAGCCGUAGCCCCAAAGGUAUUUUUAUAAACAGCUAUUCUCCCCAUAAGUCGGUGCCAUAGAAACACAAGGUUAUAUUUUUGUUAUGAUAAAAUGUGUGUCCAAAAACUAUCAACAAAUGUGCUGACACUGGCACUACUGUAUCUUGGAAAUAACUGUUAAACACAUGCCUCUAACUCUCCAAUAAAAUAUGAACUAAACCCAGUUUGUUCUUAGUCAUAAUGACAGAUGACAAUGUCACUGACCUGAAUACCACUGGUCUCAUACUAGCAAGAGGAAUGAUGAUUUGUUCAUUUUCUCUUGAACUAUACGUUUAGUUGUCAUCUUUUAUUUAAAUAUUAAAUAGCUGCUUUCCACUUCCCAAACCCAUUCUCUAAAAUUCAAAUAAGUUUUGGGAUUUUUUUGGGUCCCUUCUCUCCUUUCCCAUGGAACUCUAUACAGGGCACCCUUCUGUCCAGAACAGGCUAGAUCUAAUUCUUUGUAACUUCAGAAAGGGUAUUGUGAACAGCUGAGAUUUUUCUGAAAAGAUGCUGUAAUAAUUGUUUUUAAAUAAGAUUUUUAUAAUAAGCUACUUUUAGCCACUAUUUCACAGGUGGCAGGGUACUGCUGCUUGCUGUAAAGAUUUAAGCAUCGUGAACAGGUAUAACACACCAUGUCCUACCUGCUCCAGAUAGCCCCCCUCCACCACGAUGGGAUUGGUCUGUCUGGAACUUGUGACACUCACCACACCCUUCUGUCCUCUGAAGGUGCCUAGUUUUCAAAAGGCCUGUCUGUCCAUGACAUGUCACCAGGCUGAACACAGAGACUGACAAGCGAAGUGUGGCCUGCAUCCUGGCUUUGCUACAGCUCCAUCAGUAACUUCUCUGCCUCAGUUUUCUACUUGUCAAACACUUAAUGACCACAGUACCUAUGGGUCUGUUGCUGUGAGGAUUAAAUGAGAUAAUGAAUAUCAAAUGUUUAGAACAGUGCCUAAUACACAGUUGACCCCUAAUAAAUGCUGAUAUUAUUAUUUUUAACACUGCAGAGACAUGCACACAUAGAAAUAUGGUAAGUUAGAUUUGAAACUAAAGGCAGGGUUAUUAAAGACAAAUGAUUAGUGUUUUAAAAUCUGAAUUACACAGUUUGUAUUCUAAAACACAUACACACACACACACACAGAAAUGUGUACCAAUUAAACACAAUAAAGUUCAAAGGGGAUAUAAAUUACAGUUUUUCUUUUUUUAACAGACAAUAGUAAAAUACUACAGUCAGCUCACUAUACACACAAAUCAUGAACAGCAGCUUUUCAUUAAGGUUUCCAAUAUCUUACUCAUUUACCAACUCGAAGAAUUUAAAAGAAAAAAGGUACAGCAGGCUCUACCCAUUCUCUCUCUCUUGCUCUCACAACACAUUUAUAGCUGUACAUCCAGACCGAUUAUACAGGCAUCUACAGAAUAGGUACAGAAAGGAAUUUUGUAAAAAUUUCCAUACACAUAAUCCUUCAAUGUCUCCAUUUGUAGGAGAAUUUUACAAAUGAAGACACGACAGCAGGGUCAUCUGUAUUCGAUCAUCUCCUGCAAACAUGGUAAAGGGUGAACCAUUGAACUUCAUAGCUCAGUCCAUCUCCUCAGCAUUUUCCAGAAUCAAGCAAAAUAACAACAGCAAAACCACGCCACAGUGAAACCUACCAAUCCAAAACAAAACCACACACACAGAAACACACAAAAAUCAACACCUCCCACCCCACCCACCCCACCACUACUCCUGGCUGUCCUUGUGUUUUCUUACAGUAAUACGGCUCUCUUCAUUCCACCUGCCCAGCUGGGCUGAGCCACGGUCCAGGCAACUGUGGAGUCAGGACCCCAGUCAUUGUCAACAGUUAUAAUACAAUGUCAAGUCAGCAGGUGGAGGGGCAGGUGGAAGACCA